This is a non-coding RNA of Biomphalaria pfeifferi, 240 nucleotides long. The record is from the annotation of a GenBank genome assembly. Lineage: Eukaryota; Metazoa; Mollusca; Gastropoda; Planorbidae.
AUUGAUAUAUACAUAAUGCCGUUUAUUUCAUCAUAAAAGUUAAAUAGUUGAAUUCAUGUUAAAACGAAGCCAAGUCAAUAUUAUCAAUAUCACAAAAGUAAUAUUUACAAUUAUUUAAAAAAAUGUUUAUAAAAUGAAAUGAAACAAAUGUUUACUUUUUCAAGGAACAUACCAUUCAAUCAUUUUUUUUAGAUACAUAAGGAGGUCACUCACAAAGGCCAUGGGAUACACAUCUGAGAU